This 428-nucleotide ribosomal RNA is filed under the name uncultured prokaryote. Its description in RNAcentral is "bacterial SSU rRNA". It matches the Rfam family "Bacterial small subunit ribosomal RNA", at positions 355 to 774 of the family's 1533-position model. The record is from RNAcentral.
UGAGGAAUAUUGCGCAAUGGGGGCAACCCUGACGCAGCAACGCCGCGUGAGUGAGGAAGGUUUUCGGAUUGUAAAGCUCUGUCGAGCGGAAAGAAAUGCAUUAUGGCUAAUAUCCAUAGUGCUUGACGGUACCGCUAAAGGAAGCACCGGCUAACUCCGUGCCAGCAGCCGCGGUAAUACGGGGGGUGCAAGCGUUGUUCGGCAUCAUUGGGCGUAAAGCGCGUGUAGGCGGAUUGACAAGUCAGAUGUGAAAUCCCUGGGCUUAACUCAGGAAGUGCAUUUGAAACUGGCAGGCGAGAGUAAGGGAGAGGAAAGUGGAAUUCCUGGUGUAGAGGUGAAAGUCGUAGAUAUCAGGAGGAACACCGGUGGCGAAGGCGACUUUCUGGCCCUAUACUGACGCUGAGGCGCGAAAGCGUGGGUAGCAAACA